AAAAUGAGGAAGGAAAUUUAAAAGAGUAAUGAUGGUAUCACUUUCAUACUUCUCUUUCCACUAAACUGAAUUGCGUUCACGUGAACAAGUAAACGCACAUUAUCCCUCUUCCAUCCACGUUUCUCUUUCAGUUUGUCCCAUAAAGACCAAGAACUCUCAAAAAACACAACCAGACAAAACCAUCUUCUCAAAAGAGCUUUAGCAGACAAGCAAAAAUGGAAGCACCUGCGACACAAUCCAUAGAGACUUCAACCAAUAAUUUCCAGGUUGAAGAAGAUGAACAAGACAAAGCUGUUGAUGAAUGUUGUUCUUGCUGCUAUGACUGCACGGAGACCUGCUUCGAUUACUUGUGCUGUUUCAAUCUUUGUUAGAGUUUAGAAAGGAAAAUAACCAUCUCUAUGUCACUAUAAUUCUAGCCUUUCUUGACUGAAAGAGAAAGAACAAUGGAUAUUGCUUUAGAAAGGAAGUAGUACUUGUAUUAUUACAAUGUUGUGGUCAUGUUUCUUUCGUUUCAUACCCUUUUGGAUUCUUUUCUUUUUCUCUUCUUCUUUACCACUUUAUAAUUAAGUCAAUAAAGUAGCUUUUGAAGUGCUUUUGGCUCAA
Molecule: long non-coding RNA, 603 nt
Organism: Theobroma cacao (cacao)
Lineage: Eukaryota; Viridiplantae; Streptophyta; Magnoliopsida; Malvales; Malvaceae
Source: RefSeq, a predicted model, not a curated record